AGUGGCGGACGGGUGAGUAACGCGUAGGAAGUCUGCCUUAUAUGGGGGAGUAGCCCGGAGAAAUCCGGAUUAAUACCGCAUACGCCCUACGGGGGAAAGUUGGGGGAGUCUUCGGACCUGACGCUAUUAGAUGAGCCUGCGUUAGAUUAGCUUGUUGGUGGGGUAAUGGCCUACCAAGGCGACGAUCUAUAGCUGGUCUGAGAGGACGAUCAGCCACACUGGGACUGAGACACGGCCCAG
This 240-nucleotide ribosomal RNA is filed under the name uncultured bacterium. Its description in RNAcentral is "partial 16S ribosomal RNA". It matches the Rfam family "Bacterial small subunit ribosomal RNA", at positions 94 to 334 of the family's 1533-position model. The record is from RNAcentral.